Molecule: ribosomal RNA, 1360 nt
Filed under: uncultured marine eukaryote
Lineage: Eukaryota
Description: SSU rRNA
Rfam family: Eukaryotic small subunit ribosomal RNA
Source: RNAcentral
CACUUCUAAGGAAGGCAGCAGGCGCGCAAAUUACCCAAUCCUGACUCAGGGAGGUAGUGACAAGAAAUAACAAUAAACCGGCUUAUGCCGGUUUAAUUGGAAUGAGUACAAUUUAAACAUCUUAACGAGGAACAAUUGGAGGGCAAGUCUGGUGCCAGCAGCCGCGGUAAUUCCAGCUCCAAUAGCGUAUACUAAAGUUGUUGCAGUUAAAAAGCUCGUAGUUGGAUUUCUGUGGGGACGGAGCGGCCGGCCGCAACACGCGGUUCGAGCUAGCGCUUUCCCUACAUCCUGCCGCGAACCGUGCUACCAUUAGUUUGGUGGCGCCGGGGAUCGGCUCGAUUACUUUGAGAAAAAUAGAGUGUUCAAAGCAGGCCACAUGCCUUGAAUAAGUUAGCAUGGAAUAAUAACUAAGGACUUCGGUUCUAUUUUGUUGGUGUUCGGGACUGAAGUAAUGAUUGAUAGGGACAGUUGGGGCGGUCUGUAUUCCAAAGCGAGAGGUGAAAUUCUUAGACCUUCGGAAGACAAACAGCUGCGAAAGCGUUCCGCAAGGAUGUUCCCUUUGAUCAAGAACGAAAGUUGGGGGAUCGAAGACGAUCAGAUACCGUCGUAGUCUCAACUAUAAACUAUACCAGCUAGGGAUCGGCCAACGUUAUUUUAUACCGACUUGGUCGGCACCUUAUGAGAAAUCAAAGCAUCUGGGUUCCGGGGGGAGUAUGGUCGCAAGGCUGAAACUUAAAGGAAUUGACGGAAGGGCACCACCAGCCGUGGAGCCUGUGGCUUAAUUUGACUCAACACGGGAAAACUUACCAGGUCCAGACAUAGUAAGGAUUGACAGAUUGAUAGCUCUUUCUUGAUUCUGUGGGUGGUGGUGCAUGGCCGUUCUUAGUUGGUGGAGUGAUUUGUCUGGUUAAUUCCGUUAACGAACGAGACCCCAGCCUGCUAAAUAGCGCGCGUGUGCUUUUGCACGCGGUGAGCUUCUUAGAGGGACCAUGGCUCGCAACACAGACCAGGGAAGUUUGGGGCAAUAACAGGUCUGUGAUGCCCUUAGAUGUUCUGGGCCGCACACGGGCUACACUGAUGCGUGCAACGAGCAUAUCAGCUGGCUAGAAAUAGUCUUUGGCUAACCUUUUGAACUCGCAUCGUGCUAGGGAUUGACUAUUGCAAUUGUUAGUCAUGCAACGAGGAAUACCUUGUAAACGCGAGUCAUCAACUCGCGUUGAAUACGUCCCUGCCCUUUGUACACACCGCCCGUCGCUCCUACCGAUGAAUGUUCCGAUGAAAUUUUCGGAGGAGUCCGAUGACCCGGGCUUUGCCUGGCGAUCUGGUAUCGCGAAGUUGCUUAAAUCUGAACAUUUCGAGG